AUGCAACUUCACAUAAUAUUUGC
Molecule: small nuclear RNA, 23 nt
Filed under: Arabidopsis thaliana (thale cress)
Lineage: Eukaryota; Viridiplantae; Streptophyta; Magnoliopsida; Brassicales; Brassicaceae
Description: snRNA_04558
Source: RNAcentral